GAUGAAGAACGCAGCAAAAUGCGAUAAGUAAUGUGAAUUGCAGAAUUCAGUGAAUCAUCGAAUCUUUGAACGCACAUUGCGCCCGCUGGUAUUCCGGCGGGCAUGCCUGUUCGAGCGUCAUUUCAACCCUCAAGCCCCCGGGUUUGGUGUUGGGGAUCGGCUCUGCCCUUCUGGGCGGUGCCGCCCCCGAAAUACAUUGGCGGUCUCGCUGCAGCCUCCAUUGCGUAGUAGCUAACACCUCGCAACUGGAACGCGGCGCGGCCAUGCCGUAAAACCCCAACUUCUGAAUGUUGACCUCGGAUCAGGUAGGAAUACCCGCUGAACUUAAGCAUAUCAUAAGCGGAGGA
Molecule: unclassified non-coding RNA, 347 nt
Filed under: soil metagenome
Description: partial contains 5.8S ribosomal RNA, internal transcribed spacer 2, and large subunit ribosomal RNA
Rfam family: 5.8S ribosomal RNA (bases 1-120)
Source: RNAcentral